Molecule: ribosomal RNA, 254 nt
Filed under: uncultured bacterium
Lineage: Bacteria
Description: partial 16S ribosomal RNA
Rfam family: Bacterial small subunit ribosomal RNA
Source: RNAcentral
UACGUAGGGGGCUAGCGUUGUCCGGAAUUAUUGGGCGUAAAGAGCUCGUAGGCGGCUCGGUAAGUCGGGUGUGAAACCUCCAGGCUCAACCUGGAGACGCCACCUGAUACUGCUGUGGCUAGAGUCCGGUAGGGGAGUGUGGAACUCCUGGUGUAGCGGUGAAAUGCGCAGAUAUCAGGAAGAACACCAGCGGCGAAGGCGGCACUCUGGGCCGGAACUGACGCUGAGGAGCGAAAGCGUGGGUAGCAAACAGG